Oncorhynchus keta (chum salmon) is the source of this 1453-nucleotide long non-coding RNA. RefSeq lists it as uncharacterized. Lineage: Eukaryota; Metazoa; Chordata; Actinopteri; Salmoniformes; Salmonidae. The transcript is spliced from 3 exons. The record is from RefSeq and is a predicted model, not a curated record.
CUCUCUCCAGCGGUCAGGUUGAAGACCCUCUCCAGCAGUCAGGUUGAAGACCCUCUCCAGCGGUCAGGUUGAAGACCCUCUCCAACAGUCAGGUUGAAGACCCUCUCUCCAGCGGUCAGGUUGAAGACCCUCUCUCCAGCGGUCAGGUUGAAGACCCUCUCCAGCAGUCAGGUUGAAGACCCUCUCUCCAGCGGUCAGGUUGAAGACCCUCUCCAGCGGUCAGGUUGAAGACCCUCUCUCCAGUGGUCAGGUUGAAGACCCUCUCUCCAACGGUCAGGUUGAAGACCCUCUCUCUCCAAUGGUCAGGUUGAAGACCCUCUCCAACGGUCAGGUUGAAGACCCUCUCUCCAACGGUCAGGUUGAAGACCCUCUCUCCAGCGGUCAGGUUGAAGACCCUCUCUCCAGCAGUCAGGUUGAAGACCCUCUCUCCAGCGGUCAGGUUGAAGACCCUCUCUCCAGCGGUCAGGUUGAAGACCCUCUCCAACGGUCAGGUUGAAGACCCUCUCCAGCGGUCAGGUUGAAGACCCUCUCUCCAGCGGUCAGGUUGAAGACCCUCUCUCCAGCGGUCAGGUUGAAGACCCUCUCCAACGGUCAGGUUGAAGACCCUCUCCAGCGGUCAGGUUGAAGACCCUCUCCAACGGUCAGGUUGAAGACCCUCUCUCCAGCGGUCAGGUUGAAGACCCUCUCUCCAGCGGUCAGGUUGAAGACCCUCUCUCCAGCGGUCAGGUUGAAGACCCUCUCUCCAGCGGUCAGGUUGAAGACCCUCUCUCCAGCGGUCAGGUUGAAGACCCUCUCUCCAGCGGUCAGGUUGAAGACCCUCUCUCCAGCGGUCAGGUUGAAGACCCUCUCCAGCAGUCAGGUUGAAGACCCUCUCUCCAGCGGUCAGGUUGAAGACCCUCUCCAGCGGUCAGGUUGAAGACCCUCUCUCCAGUGGUCAGGUUGAAGACCCUCUCUCCAACGGUCAGGUUGAAGACCCUCUCUCCAGCGGUCAGGUUGAAGACCCUCUCCAGCAGUCAGGUUGAAGAACCUCUCCAGCGGUCAGGUUGAAGACCCUCUCUCCAGCAGUCAGGUUGAAGACCCUCUCCAGCGGUCAGGUUGAAGACCCUCUCCAGCAGUCAGGUUGAAGACCCUCUCUCCAGCGGUCAGGUUGAAGACCCUCUCUCCAGCGGUCAGGUUGAAGACCCUCUCUCCAGCGGUCAGGUUGAAGACCCUCUCCAGUGGUCAGGUUGAAGACCCUCUCUCCAGCGGUCAGGUUGAAGACCCUCUCCAGUGGUCAGGUUGAAGACCCUCUCCAACAGUCAGGUUGAAGACCAGACAGACAGGAACUUUAAUUUUUCAUUCCAGUCAGGCACAGCAAAGUAGCGUUCACAGUCUAAAUUAGCCACGUCAUUAACGUGUGUUUUCAGAUCACCGACAUAAUUCAACGCACACACACACACACACACACACACAC